This is a long non-coding RNA of Bombus terrestris (buff-tailed bumblebee), 1409 nucleotides long. RefSeq lists it as uncharacterized. NCBI's taxonomy places the organism in Eukaryota, Metazoa, Arthropoda, Insecta, Hymenoptera, Apidae. The record is from RefSeq and is a predicted model, not a curated record. The transcript has 6 exons.
UGAGCUUGCAGCAUGCAUUGUGCACUGCGUAAGAAGCGGGAGAGGUAGCGAAUUGGAUAGUUGAAUGUUACUUUGAUCGAUGUUUGCUUCCUGUUUGUGUUUUUCUAGAACUUUUUAAGAAAUUUCGUUUAUCUUACGUUUGGCCACGUCUUGUAUGUCCGUACAAGCCGACAACAAUUUUUUAAACUAUGUGAUGGAUUAAUGUUUUAGAUUUUGUAUUGGAAUGUUACAUGACAUUCUUUAAACCACAUGGCAGACCAAGGUAAUGCAGAUUACUAUGCACUUUGUACAAAUGACCAAAAUAAGACAGGUCUAAAUGAAAGGCUAAUAGAAAGGAGCAUAUCUCAAUCAUUAUGUGACCUAAAUAGUAGCAAUAAUAGUGUUACAGUUGAAAAUGCAGCAUCUGUUUCUCCAUUAUUAAGUCACUAUAAAUAUCAUCGUUUCUCACAUCAUGAUAAUCCAGUUAAUUUUUCAUCUUUACCAACGUAUCUUCCACCCAUUGGUGUAUUUUGGGAUAUAGAAAAUUGUCAUGUACCAAAAGGAAGGUCUGCCAUGGCUGCAACCCAAGUAAUUAGAGAAAAAUUUUUUGGUGGUUAUAGGGAAGCAGAAUUUAUUGUAGUUUGUGAUGUCUUAAGAGAAAAUAAUCGGGUUAUGAAAGAAUUGAAUAAUGCUCAGGUUAAUUUAAUGCAUGUUGCUAGAGAGUGUUAAAAUGCUCCUGAUGAAAAACUCAAUCUAUUAGAAGAUUUGCUGAUAUACAUGGAAGCCCAGCAGUUGUGAUUUUAAUAUCUAUCUUAGUUCGAAAAUUUCCGUAAAAUUUCAAAAAGAGAAAACAAGUUACUUUCAGCAAAUUCAAGCAAAUAAAAACGGUACUGUAAUUGAUUCAAAAAUUGUUAUCAGUUCUCCAAGGCAAAUGUACAGUGCAAGUGCUUCGUUACCGGGUGUAUAACACGUUUGUAUACAGCACAACACAAUAUGACAAGAAAAUGCUCAAAUUUACUUUAUUAAGGGCAAUAAAUUUUUACAGAAUGUUUACGCUAUACUGCUGGCGUUGGAUGCUAUCCUUGGCCACAAAUCUGCACAUUCUUUUGCGACGGGUCCUGUGAUAGCUGACCCUUUCAUUUCUCCCUUGUUAUUGACAAUGACCCCUGCAUUGUCUUCAAAAUAUAUAAAAACUCCGUCUUUCCUCCUAAAUGGUUUUCGUUGCCGUAUUAUGACUGCAGGCAUAACUACAAAAAAGCAAUUUAAAAACGUUAUCAAUAUUGUUACUUGUCCCUAUUUAAUCAUACAAAUUAUAUACUUUCUCUUAAUCAUCGCAAAAAAAGUAUAAAAUGACUGUAUUUGUAUCUCUUGAUAAUUGUAUAAAUUAAUUAAUAAUUAAAUAAUAAAGGACAAGAAUUCUAUAUAAUUAA